CAGCAGGCGCGCAAAUUACCCACUCCCAGCACGGGGAGGUAGUGACGAAAAAUAACAAUACGGGACUCUUUUGAGACCCCGUAAUUGGAAUGAGUACACUCUAAAUCCUUUAACGAGGAUCCAUUGGAGAGCAAGUCUGGUGCCAGCAGUCGCGGUAAUUCCAGCUCCAAUAGCGUAUAUUAAAGUUGUUGCGGUUAAAAAGCUCGUAGUUGGAUCUCAGCUCCGGCCGGACGGUCCGCCUACCGGUGGUCACUGUUCGCUGCCGAGCGUUCAGGGGGCUCUCGUCGAUGAUCUUCAUCGGUUGUCGUCGGGGACCCUCACGUUUACUUUGAAAAAAUUAGAGUGCUCAAAGCAGGCGCGACGCCUGAAUAAUUGUGCAUGGAAUAAUGGAAUAGGACCUCGGUUCUAUUUUGUUGGUUUUCGGAACACGAGGUAAUGAUUAAGAGGGACAGACGGGGGCAUUCGUAUUGCGACGCUAGAGGUGAAAUUCUUGGACCGUCGCAAGACGAACUACUGCGAAAGCAUUUGCCAAGAAUGUUUCCAUUAAUCAAGAACGAAAGUUAGAGGUUCGAAGGCGAUCAGAUACCGCCCUAGUUCUAACCAUAAACGAUGCCAGCCAGCGAUCCGGCUGUGUUCCUCAAAUGACACGCCGGGCAGCUUCCGGGAAACCAAAGCUUUUGGGUUCCGGGGGAAGUAUGGUUGCAAAGCUGAAACUUAAAGGAAUUGACGGAAGGGCACCACCAGAAAUGGAGCCUGCGGCUUAAUUUGACUCAACACGGGAAAACUUACCCGGCCCGGACACAGGAAGGAUUGACAGAUUAAGAGCUCUUUCUUGAUUCUGUGGGUGGUGGUGCAUGGCCGUUCUUAGUUGGUG
RNAcentral lists this ribosomal RNA (874 nucleotides) under Argiope catenulata. Its description in RNAcentral is "SSU rRNA". It matches the Rfam family "Eukaryotic small subunit ribosomal RNA", at positions 426 to 1303 of the family's 1831-position model. The record is from RNAcentral. Lineage: Eukaryota; Metazoa; Arthropoda; Arachnida; Araneae; Araneidae.